RNAcentral lists this ribosomal RNA (484 nucleotides) under uncultured bacterium. RNAcentral's name for it is "partial 16S ribosomal RNA". It matches the Rfam family "Bacterial small subunit ribosomal RNA", at positions 29 to 507 of the family's 1533-position model. The record is from RNAcentral.
AUUGAACGCUGGCGGCAUGCUUUACACAUGCAAGUCGAACGGCAGCGCGGGCUUCGGCCUGGCGGCGAGUGGCGAACGGGUGAGUAAUACAUCGGAACGUGCCCAGUAGUGGGGGAUAGCUCGGCGAAAGCCGGAUUAAUACCGCAUACGACCUGAGGGUGAAAGCGGGGGAUCUUCGGACCUCGCGCUAUGGGAGCGGCCGAUGGCAGAUUAGCUAGUUGGUGGGGUAAAGGCCUACCAAGGCGACGAUCUGUAGCUGGUCUGAGAGGACGACCAGCCACACUGGGACUGAGACACGGCCCAGACUCCUACGGGAGGCAGCAGUGGGGAAUUUUGGACAAUGGGCGAAAGCCUGAUCCAGCAAUGCCGCGUGUGUGAUGAAGGCCUUCGGGUUGUAAAGCACUUUUGGCGGGAACGAAAAGGACUGUGCCAAUACCACGGUUCGAUGACGGUACCCGCAGAAUAAGCACCGGCUAACUACGUG